AACGAACGCUGGCGGCAUGCCUAACACAUGCAAGUCGAACGAGACCUUCGGGUCUAGUGGCGCACGGGUGCGUAACGCGUGGGAACCUGCCCUUAGGUUCGGAAUAACUCCCCGAAAGGGGUGCUAAUACCGGAUAAUGUCUUCGGACCAAAGAUUUAUCGCCUUUGGAUGGGCCCGCGUUGGAUUAGCUAGUUGGUAGGGUAAAAGCCUACCAAGGCGACGAUCCAUAGCUGGUCUGAGAGGAUGAUCAGCCACACUGGGACUGAGACACGGCCCAGACUCCUACGGGAGGCAGGAGUGGGGGAUAUUGGAAAAUGGGCGGAAGCCUGAUCCAGCAAUGCCGGGUGAGUUAUGAAGGGCUUAGGGUUGUAAAGCCUUUUUACCCGGGAUGAUAAUGACAGUACCGGGAGAAUAAGCUCCGGCUAACUCCGUG
This 433-nucleotide ribosomal RNA is filed under the name uncultured bacterium. RNAcentral's name for it is "partial 16S ribosomal RNA". It matches the Rfam family "Bacterial small subunit ribosomal RNA", at positions 29 to 507 of the family's 1533-position model. The record is from RNAcentral.